GUGGGGAAUCUUGGACAAUGGGCGCAAGCCUGAUCCAGCCAUGCCGCGUGAGUGAAGAAGGCCUUAGGGUUGUAAAACUCUUUCGCCGGAGAAGAUAAUGACGGUAUCCGGAGAAGAAGCCCCGGCUAACUUCGUGCCAGCAGCCGCGGUAAUACGAAGGGGGCUAGCGUUGUUCGGAAUUACUGGGCGUAAAGCGCACGUAGGCGGGUUUGUAAGUAGGGGGUGAAAUCCCUGGGCUCAACCCAGGAACUGCCUUCUAGACUGCAAGCCUGGAGGUCAGGAGAGGCGAGUGGAAUUCCGAGUGUAGAGGUGAAAUUCGUAGAUAUUCGGAGGAACACCAGUGGCGAAGGCGACUCGCUGGACUGAUACUGACGCUGAGGUGCGAAAGCGUGGGGAGCAAA
RNAcentral lists this ribosomal RNA (401 nucleotides) under uncultured bacterium. Its description in RNAcentral is "bacterial SSU rRNA". It matches the Rfam family "Bacterial small subunit ribosomal RNA", at positions 354 to 772 of the family's 1533-position model. The record is from RNAcentral.